RNAcentral lists this ribosomal RNA (1323 nucleotides) under Triticum aestivum (bread wheat). RNAcentral describes it as "partial small subunit ribosomal RNA". The record is from RNAcentral. Lineage: Eukaryota; Viridiplantae; Streptophyta; Magnoliopsida; Poales; Poaceae.
AUGCGCUCGCCACGGCGUGCCAGGACUGCGGCUACCUCCGCCGCCUCAUCCCGCUCAUCUCCCUCGUCGACGAUUCGACAAACAGUCGUCGUGCCAAGGAGUGUGUUGAAACCAUCUCCAGCAAGAGCUUUGGAAUUCUCCGAAAUACGGGUUCAAGGAGCUACUGAACUCUGCAUUGUUGGAGAAAAACCAUCUGUGGGAAAAGUUGACCUGCAAGAACAGAAAAUCUUCAAUAUUGAAGAACUCGCUGAGCUUUGUAUCCGUAUAGAAGAAACUUGUGUGGGAUUUGCAAAGUUCAACUUCUUUCAGAUCGUGGAUGCUACAGACAAUUUCUCAGAGAGGAGAAUACUUGGGUUUGGUGGAUUCGGUACAGUUUAUAAGGGUCAGUUGCCCAACGGACUUAUGAUUGCCAUCAAAAGACUUGAUCAGCAUGCAACGAUAUUUGAUUUCGACAGUGAAUUGCAGCUUGCAAAGCUUCAGCAUACCAAUCUGAUUAGGUUGCUGGGGUGGUGCAUUCAUGGGGAAGAAAGGAUUCUUGUCUAUGAGUUCAUGCAAAAUAGUUCCUUGGACCAUUACAUAUCUGACAGAACAAAAGGGCAAUUGCUAGACUGGUCUAAGCGAUUCAAGAUAAUUACAGGGUUAACAGAGGGCCUUGUUUACCUGCAUAAAGGUUCCAUGUCCUGCCUUGUCCAUAGAGACUUGAAACCACAUAAUAUCCUCUUGGAUUAUAACAUGAGCCCAAAGAUUACUGAUUUUGGGUCAGCUAGGACACUGAGUUCAGAUGUAGCAGAAGGGCACACGAGUAGGCUCGUGGGAACCAGUGGUUACAAAGCUGCAGAGUAUGCAUCUCGAGGAGUUUACUCGACGAAGACAGACGUGUUCAGCUUUGGCGUUUUGGUUCUGGUGAUUAUUAGUGGCCGAAAGAAUACCAUACUCGACAAGCAAGAGGAUACUGUUGGUGAUCUUGUACGAGAUGCCUGGCAUAUGUGGAUGGACCAAAGGUUGCAUGAGCUUGUGGAUCUGUUGUUAGGGGACGGAUAUGAAGUCGCUGAGAUAACGAAAUGCGCUCAGGUGGCACUGCUUUGUGCUCAGGAAGAUCCAGCAGAGCGGUCCACCAUGACAGAUGUUGCGGCAAUGCUGAACUCUGAAAGCACAAGCUUACCAAUGGUGCCUAAGCAGCCCGCUGCGCUGAUCCAUGGGUGUGCCGACAGAGGCACGACGCCGACAUACAUGGGCCAAUCAAGCAGGACAAUAGAAGUAACCAUAACGAGUUCAGCUCCAAUGUCGACCAGAGUUCGAAUCAUUCUAGACCCGGAGGUUUGA